UACGUAGGGUGCGAGCGUUGUCCGGAAUUAUUGGGCGUAAAGAGCUCGUAGGCGGUCUGUCGCGUCGGUCGUGAAAACUUGGGGCUUAACCCUGAGCUUGCGGUCGAUACGGGCAUGACUGGAGUUCGGCAGGGGAGACUGGAAUUCCUGGUGUAGCGGUGAAAUGCGCAGAUAUCAGGAGGAACACCGGUGGCGAAGGCGGGUCUCUGGGCAGUAACUGACGCUGAGGAGCGAAAGCGUGGGUAGCGAACAGG
Molecule: ribosomal RNA, 254 nt
Filed under: uncultured bacterium
Lineage: Bacteria
Description: partial 16S ribosomal RNA
Rfam family: Bacterial small subunit ribosomal RNA
Source: RNAcentral